RNAcentral lists this ribosomal RNA (775 nucleotides) under uncultured bacterium. RNAcentral describes it as "bacterial SSU rRNA". It matches the Rfam family "Bacterial small subunit ribosomal RNA", at positions 94 to 863 of the family's 1533-position model. The record is from RNAcentral.
AGUGGCGAACGGGUGAGUAAUAUAUCGGAACAUGUCCGGAAGUGGGGGAUAGCUCGGCGAAAGCCGGAUUAAUACCGCAUAUGCCUGAGGGGGAAAGGAGGGGAUCCGCAAGGACCUUUCGCUUUCGGAGUGGCCGAUAUCGGAUUAGCUAGUUGGUGAGGUAAAGGCUCACCAAGGCGACGAUCCGUAGCUGGUCUGAGAGGACGACCAGCCACACUGGAACUGAGACACGGUCCAGACUCCUACGGGAGGCAGCAGUGGGGAAUUUUGGACAAUGGGGGAAACCCUGAUCCAGCCAUGCCGCGUGAGUGAAGAAGGCCUUCGGGUUGUAAAGCUCUUUCAGACGGAAAGAAACGGUCACGGCUAAUACCUGUGACUAAUGACGGUACCGUCAGAAGAAGCACCGGCUAACUACGUGCCAGCAGCCGCGGUAAUACGUAGGGUGCGAGCGUUAAUCGGAAUUACUGGGCGUAAAGCGUGCGCAGGCGGUUUUGUAAGACAGAUGUGAAAUCCCCGGGCUUAACCUGGGAACUGCAUUUGUGACUGCAAGACUAGAGUACGGCAGAGGGGGGUAGAAUUCCACGUGUAGCAGUGAAAUGCGUAGAUAUGUGGAGGAAUACCGAUGGCGAAGGCAGCCCCCUGGGUCGAUACUGACGCUCAUGCACGAAAGCGUGGGGAGCAAACAGGAUUAGAUACCCUGGUAGUCCACGCCCUAAACGAUGUCAACUAGGUGUUGGGGAAGGAGACUUCUUUAGUACCGCAGCUAACGCGAUAA